CAGUGUGGGGAAUCACGUGACCCAAAAUGGUACGGAACACGGAAAUCAACAUGGCGGAUUUCUGACUUUUUUACCAAUUUUCAAAGAAAUCGCCAAACCUAAGAAGAAACCGGGUCUGACACUUGGGAAAAAAAGUGGAUAAAGAAGCAAAACAAGAAUAUCAAUAUCAAAGUAACUUUCCAAUUGCCGCAAUCCGUCAAGAAAUCACAAGCGAAAAGGCUGCUUACGCCAUCUAAAUCCCCUAUGUACAACAUAUCUCCAGCAAAUUAAAAAUAAAGUGAAUUUGGUCACCUGACGUUUCCAAAAAAGACAAAAAAAAAAACAACAGUUUACAAUAAUUCCCGAUGAAAGUCUUCAAGAUCACUUUCUGGACAUGUAGAGGAAAACAGUGAUACCAGAGACGAUGUAGAACGCUUCUUAAACACUGAAUUACUGUAUGAAGAAAUGUGAAGAAAUCACAUGUUCGAUACUGCAAGCAGAAAGAGACUUCCUGUGAGACGAAAACAGGGUACUGUUAGUACAUCAAGGAACGCAGUUCAGAAAGAAGCUCUGUGUAUAAGGUGGGAGAAGGCUAGGACGAAUGAAUCUAAAAUGCUACCGAUGAAGAGGAUGGGACUGGACUGAGAAGUGCAUAUGAACGAGAAAAGAAAUAGUUACGAUAUCAGUACCGAAAAUAAAAGGAGGAUGAUAUAAAUACAAUUGGAGAAAAGAAAAAAUAUUUGAGUACUUAAUGUGAAAAGGAAUGUGAAAUAAAUCUACACUUAAUGAGACGAGGAAUUUAAUACAAUUGCGGGAAGUGAAAUAGAUACUGACUGAAGAAAGAACCGAUGUUUUUAAUAGUAAACAUUAGGGAAAAAUUGAUAUAUUCAGUAAACGAUGUGAAAACUGUGAGUACAAUCAUGGGGCUAAAUUUUAUGCAAAAGGACAUUAUGUGAUAUAAAUUGGCAUACUCAAUGGGAAUAGAAAGACUCGAUGACAUUGAGAAAAAGAAAUUUCUAAUGACAGUGUUCUUCUUUGAUUUUGUUUUAAUUUAUUGUUGGAAGCUUGCUGUAUAAAUUCUGUAUAGAUAAUGAAAAUGAGCUUUGAUAGCUUUUUUGUCAAUUAAAAAAAAUGAUAUGUUUUUUUCUUUGCACAUGUUUUUGUGACAUAAUUGUGUUUAAUUAUGUUUUUAAUUGCAAUAAAGAAGUAACCGAA
Long non-coding RNA from Mercenaria mercenaria, 1194 nucleotides. RefSeq lists it as uncharacterized. The record is from RefSeq and is a predicted model, not a curated record. The transcript has 2 exons. Lineage: Eukaryota; Metazoa; Mollusca; Bivalvia; Venerida; Veneridae.